RNAcentral lists this small nucleolar RNA (83 nucleotides) under Pediculus humanus corporis (human body louse). Its description in RNAcentral is "small nucleolar RNA snR60/Z15/Z230/Z193/J17". It matches the Rfam family "Small nucleolar RNA snR60/Z15/Z230/Z193/J17". From Rfam's summary of the family: The members of this family belong to the C/D class of snoRNAs which contain the C (UGAUGA) and D (CUGA) box motifs. Lineage: Eukaryota; Metazoa; Arthropoda; Insecta; Psocodea; Pediculidae. The record is from Rfam by way of RNAcentral.
AAUCUGCCUAUGAUGAUGAACUUUAUUUGAUAUAUGUUAUGAUAAUAAAAAACAUUAUCUUUCGCUCCUAUCUGAGGCAGUUG